ACAAACUAUUCAAUAAAAACAGUCGCUACGUCCGAACUCGACGUUACAUCCAAAGUCGCUAUAGCCAUAUGUUUGUACAUACUAUAGUAUGCUUUAAUUCAAGGGACUUAGAUUUAACGUCGCUAUAGACGAAUGGUCGCUACAACCAAGGUCGUAAUAAAUGAAAUCCACUGUAUAAGUAUGUUGCGAUUUCAUAAGAU
Long non-coding RNA from Vanessa atalanta (red admiral), 200 nucleotides. RefSeq lists it as uncharacterized. The transcript has 4 exons. The record is from RefSeq and is a predicted model, not a curated record. Lineage: Eukaryota; Metazoa; Arthropoda; Insecta; Lepidoptera; Nymphalidae.